AUGCAUAAUUCCAGUACCGCCGAGGCCGAGAGGUCCAACCCUCCUUUUCGGAAAAACAAUUGCAUACUUCCAGUACUGAUGGGUUUGGAGAUCAUGCAUCGAUCUGAAAGUGGCAACUUUGCUUGUAGAGAUUUUUCACGUCAAAAAAUUACGAAAAAACUACAGCCCGCUUUUUCUGCUAAUCUUGUGCCGGAGAAUAUUAAGAUACGCACACUAUCUUGUGGACACAUGGAUGCACACAUGUACUCAUCACUCACAAACAUGCGCUUUUACUACACUUGGCCCAAGGAACUAGCCAAAAGAUUGAUAAGCCACCACAGAUCCGCCUCACUAAUUUUUCUUCCUUGA
This 348-nucleotide ribosomal RNA is filed under the name Triticum aestivum (bread wheat). Its description in RNAcentral is "partial small subunit ribosomal RNA". Lineage: Eukaryota; Viridiplantae; Streptophyta; Magnoliopsida; Poales; Poaceae. The record is from RNAcentral.